RNAcentral lists this ribosomal RNA (497 nucleotides) under uncultured bacterium. RNAcentral describes it as "partial 16S ribosomal RNA". It matches the Rfam family "Bacterial small subunit ribosomal RNA", at positions 28 to 507 of the family's 1533-position model. The record is from RNAcentral.
GAUGAACGCUGGCGGCGUGCCUAAUACAUGCCAGUCGAGCGAACAGACGAGGAGCUUGCUCCUUUGACGUUAGCGGCGGACGGGUGAGUAACACGUAGGUAACCUACCUAUAAGACUGGGAUAACUUCGGGAAACCGGAGCUAAUACCGGAUAAUAUUUCGAACCGCAUGGUUCGAUAGUGAAAGAUGGCUUUGCUAUCACUUAUAGAUGGACCUGCGCCGUAUUAGCUAGUUGGUAAGGUAACGGCUUACCAAGGCAACGAACCGUAGCUGACCUGAGAGGGUGAUCGGCCACACUGGAACUGAGACACGGUCCAGACUCCUACGGGAGGCAGCAGUAGGGAAUCUUCCGCAAUGGGCGAAAGCCUGACGGAGCAACGCCGUGUGAGUGAUGAAGGUCUUCGGAUCGUAAAACUCUGUUAUUAGGGAAGAACAAAAGUGUAAGUAACUGUGCACGUCUUGACGGUACCUAAUCAGAAAGCCACGGCUAACUACGUG